Long non-coding RNA from Mustela erminea (ermine), 491 nucleotides. RefSeq lists it as uncharacterized. The transcript has 3 exons. NCBI's taxonomy places the organism in Eukaryota, Metazoa, Chordata, Mammalia, Carnivora, Mustelidae. The record is from RefSeq and is a predicted model, not a curated record.
UAUGCUGUUAUCUCCUACUCCUUGGCCUCCUUUGUUUCUCCCUCUGCUCCUCUCCAAACACUGGAGAGUCUGACGCUUGCUCAGAUGAAAUAGAACGUCUUUUCCAUUGAAUGUCAAGUUGUGAUCUCCAGUCCCUUCACCUCUCCUGAACUGCAGACACAUAGUGACUCUGUACUCCCACUUGGACAUCCUAAGAAAUCUCCACGUCAACCUAACAUACAAAAUUGAACUUCUGCUCCCCAGCCUGCAGCAGAUUUGUUUUCUUUCCAUUGUUAACAUCCCAGCAAAUGGUACCACCAUCCAUCUAACAGCUGAAGUAAAAAACCUAGUUUCUCUAUGACUCACAUUUUCUCGUCAUGCUGACUUUCCUCCUGUUCUUUGAAGAGACCAUGUUCAUUCCUGCCUUAGGAUCCUGUGGGUAGAAUGCUCUUCCCUCCGAUCUCUGGAUUCAGAAUAAGCUCAUCUACAGCAAAGGAAACAGUUAACAAAAC